Molecule: ribosomal RNA, 116 nt
Filed under: Pteropus alecto (black flying fox)
Lineage: Eukaryota; Metazoa; Chordata; Mammalia; Chiroptera; Pteropodidae
Also listed under: 1 other name
Source: RNAcentral
GUCUAUGGCCAUGCCACCCUGAACAAGCCCGAUGUCUGAUCUCAGAACCUAAGCAGGGUUGGGCCUGGUUAGUACUUGGAUGGGAGACCACCUAGGAAGACCAGGUGCUGUAGGCA